UACGUAGGGGGCAAGCGUUGUCCGGAAUCAUUGGGCGUAAAGCGCGUGUAGGCGGCUCGAUAAGUCUGCUGUGAAAGUCCAGGGCUCAACCCUGGGAUGCCGGUGGAUACUGUCGAGCUCGAGUCCGGAAGAGGAGUGUGGAAUUCCUGGUGUAGCGGUGAAAUGCGUAGAUAUCUGGAGGAAUACCGGUGGCGAAGGCGGCAUCCUGGACCGACAUUGACGCUGAGGCGCGAAAGCCAGGGGAGCAAACGGG
Molecule: ribosomal RNA, 253 nt
Filed under: uncultured bacterium
Lineage: Bacteria
Description: partial 16S ribosomal RNA
Rfam family: Bacterial small subunit ribosomal RNA
Source: RNAcentral